This 459-nucleotide ribosomal RNA is filed under the name uncultured bacterium. RNAcentral's name for it is "partial 16S ribosomal RNA". It matches the Rfam family "Bacterial small subunit ribosomal RNA", at positions 338 to 795 of the family's 1533-position model. The record is from RNAcentral.
CCUACGGGUGGCAGCAGUGAGGAAUAUUGGUCAAUGGCCGAGAGGCUGAACCAGCCAAGUCGCGUGAGGGAAGACGGCCCUACGGGUUGUAAACCUCUUUUGUCGGGGAGCAAAGCGAGUCACGUGUGACUCAUUGAGAGUACCCGAAGAAAAAGCAUCGGCUAACUCCGUGCCAGCAGCCGCGGUAAUACGGAGGAUGCGAGCGUUAUCCGGAUUUAUUGGGUUUAAAGGGUGCGUAGGCGGACUGGAAAGUCAGCGGUAAAAUCGAGAGGCUCAACCUCUUUCCGCCGUUGAAACUGUCGGUCUUGAGUGGGCGAGAAGUAUGCGGAAUGCGUGGUGUAGCGGUGAAAUGCAUAGAUAUCACGCAGAACUCCGAUUGCGAAGGCAGCAUACCGGCGCCCGACUGACGCUGAGGCACGAAAGCGUGGGUAUCGAACAGGAUUAGAUACCCUAGUAGUC